This 329-nucleotide ribosomal RNA is filed under the name uncultured bacterium. Its description in RNAcentral is "bacterial SSU rRNA". It matches the Rfam family "Bacterial small subunit ribosomal RNA", at positions 568 to 898 of the family's 1533-position model. The record is from RNAcentral.
UGCGUAGGCGGUCCCGCAAGUCCGUUGUGAAAGCCCCGGGCUUAACCUGGGAAUGGCAGUGGAAACUAGGGGACUUGAAUCUGGCAGAGGGGGGUGGAAUGCCACGUGUAGCAGUGAAAUGCGUAGAGAUGUGGCGGAACACCGAUGGCGAAGGCAGCCCCCUGGGCUGAGAUUGACGCUCAGGCACGAAAGCGUGGGGAGCAAACAGGAUUAGAUACCCUGGUAGUCCACGCCCUAAACGAUGAUCACUAGGUGUUGGGGAAGCGAUUUCUCAGUACCGCAGCUAACGCGUGAAGUGAUCCGCCUGGGAGUACGGUCGCAAGAUUAAA